Molecule: ribosomal RNA, 301 nt
Filed under: uncultured bacterium
Lineage: Bacteria
Description: partial 16S ribosomal RNA
Rfam family: Bacterial small subunit ribosomal RNA
Source: RNAcentral
CAGUAGCCGCGGGAAUACGUAGGUGGCAAGCGUUGUCCGGAAUUAUUGGGCGUAAAGCGAGCGCAGGCGGUUAGAUAAGUCUGAAGUUAAAGGCUGUGGCUUAACCAUAGUAGGCUUUGGAAACUGUUUAACUUGAGUGCAAGAGGGGAGAGUGGAAUUCCAUGUGUAGCGGUGAAAUGCGUAGAUAUAUGGAGGAACACCGGUGGCGAAAGCGGCUCUCUGGCUUGUAACUGACGCUGAGGCUCGAAAGCGUGGGGAGCAAACAGGAUUAGAUACCCCAGUAGUCCCUGUCUCUUAUACA